CUUCGCUGGAGCCCUCCGCAUUCCCCAAAAUCCUAGCAACAAAGUGCUGUCUCUCAGCCUCCAAUGAAUCAUGUGAAUUUAACCUUUCACCUGGCCACAAGGAGGCUAAUAUACCAAAAUAGCCUCUUUUUUUUGUUUCAUUUCAUUUAUUGCCUUUGGGCUGGGGGAGGAGACUAUGCAGGGUGGAAACCAAAUGUAAGUGGGACAGCACGAAAAGUGAGCUUAGAAUUCAACCACAACUCCCUGCCUCGCUGAGCUGGCCUCUGCCAGGCAAAAGGGGCAGCCGGAGGAUCCGGAGCACCAGCUGAAGGGUUCAACAGAUACAAGUCUGGCGCCCGCUUGGUGGUGUGCAAUGUAUCCAGGAGCUGAGGAGAAACAGACGAUAUAAACUGCUGAGAUCUUGAAACCCGUGGAUGAUCCCAUAUUCCCCCUGCCAUUGGAGUUCGGCUGAGGGUUACCUGCGGAAAUUAACCUCGCUUGUAGGUCGCAUUAGGCACCUGAGAUCGACACCCUGUGAAAAAGACAGAGAAUUCACUCUAAACAGGUAGAAAGCUCGGAACACUGGUCCUGCUGCUCCAGUUCUCGCUUGUUUAAAAGGCAAGGGGCGCGCUGUUCUGCACACAAGCCUUUCUGUUUGAAGUGACUUGUGAUUCGGAGCGAAUGCCGGAUGAAUCUCGCUCCGCAUUGAAGGAUUUUCAGUUUCACUGGGCAGCUUGCGUGGAAUGAACCAGGAUCGAUCGGUAGGACACAUCACCUGAUUUGCGUUGUUUUCCCAUCCGCUCAGCAAUGGCUGAUGCUGGCUCUGUACCCUCAUUCCAAGGGCAUGUCUUAGAUUCAAAAGAAAGAUGGGGCUUGUAUGUUACUUGGUUUAUUGGGGGCAACUUGUCUAAUUAAAGGAGAAUCUCUU
Long non-coding RNA from Trachemys scripta elegans, 907 nucleotides. RefSeq lists it as uncharacterized. The transcript is spliced from 4 exons. The record is from RefSeq and is a predicted model, not a curated record. NCBI's taxonomy places the organism in Eukaryota, Metazoa, Chordata, Testudines, Emydidae.